This 371-nucleotide ribosomal RNA is filed under the name Centipeda dianae. RNAcentral describes it as "bacterial SSU rRNA". It matches the Rfam family "Bacterial small subunit ribosomal RNA", at positions 28 to 376 of the family's 1533-position model. The record is from RNAcentral. Lineage: Bacteria; Bacillati; Bacillota; Negativicutes; Selenomonadales; Selenomonadaceae.
GACGAACGCUGGCGGCGUGCUUAACACAUGCAAGUCGAACGGAGCGAAUGAAAGCUUGCUUUUAUGAGCUUAGUGGCAAACGGGUGAGUAACACGUAGACAACCUGCCGACAGGAUGGGGACAACAUUCCGAAAGGAAUGCUAAUACCGAAUGAAGCGGAGGAGAGGCAUCUCUCUUCCGUGAAAGAUGGCCUCUGAACAUGCUAUCACCUGUCGAUGGGUCUGCGUCUGAUUAGCUGGUUGGUGAGGUACCGGCUCACCAAGGCGACGAUCAGUAGCCGGUUCUGAGAGGAUGAACGGCCACAUUGGGACUGAGACACGGCCCCAGACUCCUACGGGAGGCAGCCAGUGGGGAAUUUUUCCGCAAUGGGC